GGGGAUUUAGCUCAGUGGCAUAAGCACCUGCUUUGCAAGCAGGUGGUCGUGAGUUCGAUCCUCGGUACCGUUA
This is a transfer RNA of Cavia porcellus (domestic guinea pig), 73 nucleotides long. It matches the Rfam family "tRNA". Rfam says of the family: Transfer RNA (tRNA) molecules are approximately 80 nucleotides in length. Their secondary structure includes four short double-helical elements and three loops (D, anti-codon, and T loops). Further hydrogen bonds mediate the characteristic L-shaped molecular structure. tRNAs have two regions of fundamental functional importance: the anti-codon, which is responsible for specific mRNA codon recognition, and the 3' end, to which the tRNAs corresponding amino acid is attached (by aminoacyl-tRNA synthetases). tRNAs cope with the degeneracy of the genetic code in two manners: having more than one tRNA (with a specific anti-codon) for a particular amino acid; and 'wobble' base-pairing, i.e. permitting non-standard base-pairing at the 3rd anti-codon position. The record is from Rfam. NCBI's taxonomy places the organism in Eukaryota, Metazoa, Chordata, Mammalia, Rodentia, Caviidae.